This 373-nucleotide ribosomal RNA is filed under the name uncultured organism. RNAcentral describes it as "partial 16S ribosomal RNA". It matches the Rfam family "Bacterial small subunit ribosomal RNA", at positions 527 to 896 of the family's 1533-position model. The record is from RNAcentral.
GUAGGUGGCAAGCGUUGCCCGGAAUUAUUGGGGCGUAAAGCGCGCGCAGGCGGUUCUUUAAGUCUGAUGUGAAAGCCCACGGGCUCAACCGUGGAGGGUCAUUGGAAACUGGAGAACUUGAGUACAGAAGAGGAAAGCGGAAUUCCACGUGUAGCGGUGAAAUGCGUAGAGAUGUGGAGGAACACCAGUGGCGAAGGCGGCUUUCUGGUCUGUAACUGACGCUGAGGCGCGAAAGCGUGGGGAGCAAACAGGAUUAGAUACCCUGGUAGUCCACGCCGUAAACGAUGAGUGCUAAGUGUUAGGGGGUUUCCGCCCCUUAGUGCUGCAGCUAACGCAUUAAGCACUCCGCCUGGGGAGUGCGGCCGCAAGGCUG